RNAcentral lists this transfer RNA (85 nucleotides) under Nonomuraea cavernae. RNAcentral describes it as "tRNA-Leu". It matches the Rfam family "tRNA". From Rfam's summary of the family: Transfer RNA (tRNA) molecules are approximately 80 nucleotides in length. Their secondary structure includes four short double-helical elements and three loops (D, anti-codon, and T loops). Further hydrogen bonds mediate the characteristic L-shaped molecular structure. tRNAs have two regions of fundamental functional importance: the anti-codon, which is responsible for specific mRNA codon recognition, and the 3' end, to which the tRNAs corresponding amino acid is attached (by aminoacyl-tRNA synthetases). tRNAs cope with the degeneracy of the genetic code in two manners: having more than one tRNA (with a specific anti-codon) for a particular amino acid; and 'wobble' base-pairing, i.e. permitting non-standard base-pairing at the 3rd anti-codon position. The record is from RNAcentral. Lineage: Bacteria; Bacillati; Actinomycetota; Actinomycetes; Streptosporangiales; Streptosporangiaceae.
GCCGGAAUGGUGGAAUGGCAGACACUGACGUCUCAAAAGCGUCUGCUCGAAAGAGCGUGCGGGUUCGAAUCCCGCUUCCGGCACC